GGGUGGAAACAGUCUCUUGUUUAAGGCUGUGGUCUGUCUUGAGACAACUUUCAAGUUGAGCCCACUUUCCAAGAUCUCUUCAGUUUCCAAACGGGUCAAGGGCCAGUGUUAUCUGUUUCCAUAGUGUAGUGGUUAUCACGUUCGCCUAACACGCGAAAGGUCCCCAGUUCGAAACUGGGUGGAAACAGUCUCUUGUUUAAGGCUGUGGUCUGUCUUGAGACAACUUUCAAGUUGAGCCCACUUUCCAAGAUCUCUUCAGUUCCAAACGGGGCAAGGGCCAGUGUUAUCUGUUUCCAUAGUGUAGUGGUUAUCACGUUCGCUUUACACGCGAAAGGUCCCCAGUUCGAAACUGGGUGGAAACAGUCUCUUGUUUAAGGCUGUGGUCUGUCUUGAGACAACUUUCAAGUUGAGCCCACUUUCCAAGAUCUCUUCAGUUCCAAACGGGGCAAGGGCCAGUGUUAUCUGUUUCCAUAGUGUAGUGGUUAUCACGUUCGCUUUACACGCGAAAGGUCCCCAGUUCGAAACUGGGUGGAAACAGUCUCUUGUUUGAGGCUGUGGUCUGUCUUGAGACAACUUUCAAGUUGAGCCCACUUUCCAAGAUCUCUUCAGUUCCAAACGGGGCAAGGGCCAGUGUUAUCUGUUUCCAUAGUGUAGUGGUUAUCACGUUCGCCUAACACGCGAAAGGUCCCCAGUUCGAAACUGGGUGGAAACAGUCUCUUGUUUAAGGAUGUGGUCUGUCUUGGCACAAGUCCCUCACUAGACCCACUUUCCAAGAUCUCUUCAGUUCCAAACGGGGCAAGGGCCAGUGUUAUCUGUUUCCAUAGUGUAGUGGUUAUCACGUUCGCCUCACACGCGAAAGGUCCCCAGUUCGAAACUGGGUGGAAA
Molecule: long non-coding RNA, 885 nt
Organism: Clupea harengus (Atlantic herring)
Lineage: Eukaryota; Metazoa; Chordata; Actinopteri; Clupeiformes; Clupeidae
Exons: 2
Source: RefSeq, a predicted model, not a curated record